Zootermopsis nevadensis is the source of this 818-nucleotide non-coding RNA. NCBI's taxonomy places the organism in Eukaryota, Metazoa, Arthropoda, Insecta, Blattodea, Termopsidae. The record is from RefSeq and is a predicted model, not a curated record.
UAUUAUAUACUGAUGUAUUUGGACAACAGUUACGUAGGUUCCUUCACACAGCAGCAGUCUCAAAUUUACGCUUUGCACGUAUACCACCAUAAAUUUUUCUGUUUCAGUGUAGGCACAGCUAGCAAUCUCGUGGACAACUGUGAGAUUAUCUAUCACAACCACAGAUAUUACACACUGACCAGUACUUUGCUCCAUAGAGUUCCGACUCUGCCCGUAGUUCAAGAUUCUGGUUGAUAGAUGGUAGCUCAAAUCUUGUCAUUAUUUUCCCAUUUUCACUUAGAUUCUUCUUUGCGAAUAAUUGCUCCUAACAGACAAUGUGUGUUUAUCAUAUACAGAGAUGAAUUUAAGUUGUAAUAAUUUUGUGUGUUUGUCGGUCUUGUUUAGUUGACACGUUCUUUUCAGUGUUUCUUGGACAUGGUGGUAUCCAAUAUGGUGUCUGCUUAAGAGAAGUAAUAUGGUGAAUUUGGGCUGUUUGAAUGUAUUUGUGGCUGAGUUUUCGAAACGUGUGUCAGUUUAACGGGUUUAUCAGUAACGAUGACAUCGAGAAGAGCCGUUGAGGCUAUCCGGGAAUGAUGCCCACGCUUUGGGCCCGUGUGUGUGGGGCCCUGAUCCAGUUGGCGACCAGGGACAGUCGAGGCAGAGAGGCGCGCGCUCAGGACGAAGAAUCAGCCAGGCGACGCCAGGGACUGAGGAGAUGGUUUCAUACCAAUAUCUCGGGCAUCGAUGCAGAGAUUCUCCUACUGAAUCGUGGAUUCGAUGGCAGUUUCCUUGCUCGACCGAGUCGGAGUAACCCUGGGGAUUUUACGUUGUCUGUCAGG